This 301-nucleotide ribosomal RNA is filed under the name uncultured bacterium. RNAcentral describes it as "partial 16S ribosomal RNA". It matches the Rfam family "Bacterial small subunit ribosomal RNA", at positions 509 to 807 of the family's 1533-position model. The record is from RNAcentral.
CAGCAGCCGCGGGAAAACGUAGGGCGCAAGCGUUGUCCGGAAUUAUUGGGCGUAAAGAGCUCGUAGGCGGUCUGUCGCGUCUGGUGUGAAAUCCCGAGGCUCAACCUCGGGCUUGCAUCGGGUACGGGCAGACUAGAGUGCGGUAGGGGAGACUGGAAUUCCUGGUGUAGCGGUGGAAUGCGCAGAUAUCAGGAGGAACACCGAUGGCGAAGGCAGGUCUCUGGGCCGCAACUGACGCUGAGGAGCGAAAGCAUGGGGAGCGAACAGGAUUAGAUACCCGAGUAGUCCCUGUCUCUUAUAC